AUUAUCAAAAGGAUAACAAUUAUCGUAUUCUUAUCACUCAACUAGCAUGUUGUGAAUCACCAAUUUCGUUAGCUAAUUAAAACGUAACAUUGUCGUUUGUGACAAGAUAUGAAGAAAACAAAGUUGAUAUAAUGUAAAAGAAUGAGACACGUCACCAUCGGUUCAACAGUUGCGAUCGAGUUCGCUUGUUCCUCGGGCAGUAAACGUUUCACAGCAUGGCUCAUAAGAAUUGCAAGAAAGAAAGGAUGAUCGUAUUAAAUUCAUCCACUCACAACGGAUCUUGAAUACUCUCCAGCACUCUGACACUGCUCCGGACACCAUUAUAAAAUGCGAUUCUCACGAAUGAAAAAACUUUUGUUAUCGAUAAAAAAAGGAUACACUGUUGAAAUAUAUCACCAAAACACAAAUUCAUUGAAAUAACACUUUUAAAUUUGUCGGACGUAAAAGAAACAGAACACACAGAGUCUAAAUAUGCAAGUAGCCAAACGUUGCAAUGUUGCACAGAAAAAUAGUAGAAGUAACACUCGGUAACUUUUAAACACCAUGAAACACUAUAUAAACACAUUAUUCUUCAUAAUCUUAAAAAUACAGUUCAAAUAAAGAUAGAACUGCAAGAGAAAUAGGAAAAAUAUAUGUGCCCAGAAGGCUGAAGAAUAUGAAGUAAAUAAAUUACCACGCUACGAACAAAACGAAUCGAUGGAUCGACCAACCGAUUAGAACGUACUUUAAAUGUUGCAGAUGAACAUUACAAUCGACGAACACAGACGGCACAUAUGUAUCGUAUAUAUGGAAUCAUUUUCAGUUAUAAUGCUAUGAGAAUACAUGGUUUCACUUCGUAAUUCCACCGUAUAGCUGUUAGGUUUGCAUAUAAAUGCAGAUGUAUUCAUUUUCUCUCUUUUUCUAUUACCCCGUUUAUUUUAUCCGAAGAAAAACAAAAUAAAUGUAAAGGGAGUACGAAAAAAGGAUAGAUAGAGAAGGAAAGAAAAGGAUAAAAUAUAUUUUAUGAUAUAAAUUAAUAAUAUAUGUUGAUUCGAAUAUAUACAUGAACGGAAAGGAUAAAUUAUAUACAUUUACGCAUAUUCUUCAAAGAAAGGAAGAUAAAAGAAAAGGAUAGUAUGUACAGUAUAGAAUGUGUAUGUGUGUGCGCGCGCAUGCAUAUAUAUGUAUGUGUAUAUGAAUGUGCAUGUAUAUGCACGAGAGAAAAAAAGAAAGAAAGAAAGAAACAGAACCUAAAGGAAUAUGUUUAGGAGUUUAACACGACCGGGAACGUAUCGGUUAGUUUCACCACACAUUUCUCUUCUCUUACCCGAACUAGUCUAUGAUAUAUUCCAGUGCGGUGGCUGCGAUGAUUAAAAAACACUCGCGUCUUACAUUCGCGCCCUAACGAGAAGGGUAGUCAAAAUCGUACGGUCAGUCCAACGUUUUCAGGGCCGCCAGGUUAACGUCACGAAAUCCACCGACACAACCAUAGAUCCAAACGGUGGACGGACGGACGUAAGGACGGACGGCUGGCUGGCAGCAGGCAAGGCGGAAUCAGAGAGAGGAUCGGGGGGAGGGACUGAAUGUAGCGGGGUGAGGGUAAAGUUUCUGGGUACGGGGCAGGUGGGGUCAUAAGAGACCGGGGACGUAUGAGUUGGAGUGGGGUGAAAACGAACGAGAACGAGCGAGCAACCGAACCGACCGACGACGUAGCGUCGCGGGGGACGGAGGUCUACACAGCUCAGGACCGUUUAUUCUUGGUUCCUACGGCGCCACCGUUUAUCAUCUAACAAACAUUUUUUCAUUUUUUAUUAUUAUUUUCAUAUUUAUUAUUAUAUAUAUAUCAAAUUUUAAAUCAUUUAUAUAAUAUACUUAGAAUUUUUAACAUCAUAAAUUAAUAAAAAAUGUAAAACGUUAAUUUGCAUGUAACGGGAUGAAGAGAGAUAUACAUAUACAACCCUAAAGAUCUCCGCGACUUAAAGGUGAUAGUUUAAGAAUAAAAUGUGAUAUAUACAUUAA
Molecule: long non-coding RNA, 1998 nt
Organism: Apis mellifera (honey bee)
Lineage: Eukaryota; Metazoa; Arthropoda; Insecta; Hymenoptera; Apidae
Exons: 3
Source: RefSeq, a predicted model, not a curated record